CUGAGACACGGCCCAGACUCCUACGGGAGGCAGCAGUGGGGAAUAUUGCACAAUGGGCGAAAGCCUGAUGCAGCGACGCCGCGUGAGGGAUGACGGCCUUCGGGUUGUAAACCUCUUACAGCACGGAAGAAGCGAAAGUGACGGUACGUGCAGAAGAAGCGCCGGCUAACUACGUGCCAGCGGCCGCGGUAAUACGUAGGGCGCAAGCGUUGUCCGG
Molecule: ribosomal RNA, 217 nt
Filed under: Kocuria rhizophila
Lineage: Bacteria; Bacillati; Actinomycetota; Actinomycetes; Micrococcales; Micrococcaceae
Description: partial 16S ribosomal RNA
Rfam family: Bacterial small subunit ribosomal RNA
Source: RNAcentral